This 492-nucleotide ribosomal RNA is filed under the name uncultured bacterium. Its description in RNAcentral is "partial 16S ribosomal RNA". It matches the Rfam family "Bacterial small subunit ribosomal RNA", at positions 29 to 507 of the family's 1533-position model. The record is from RNAcentral.
AGUGAACGCUGGCGGUAGGCCUAACACAUGCAAGUCGAACGGCAGCACAGUAAGAGCUUGCUCUUAGGGGUGGCGAGUGGCGGACGGGUGAGGAAUACAUCGGAAUCUACUUUUUCGUGGGGGAUAACGUAGGGAAACUUACGCUAAUACAGCAUACGACCUACGGGUGAAAGCAGGGGAUCUUCGGACUUUGCGCGAUUGAAUGAGCCGAUGUCGGAUUAGCUAGUUGGCGGGGUAAAGGCCCACCAAGGCGACGAUGCGUAGCUGGUCUGAGCGGAUGAUCAGCCACACUGGCACUGAGACACGGUCCAGACUCCUACAGGAGGCAACAGUGCGGAAUAUUAGACAAUGCACGCAAGCCUGAUCCAGCACUACCGCCUGGGUGAAGAAGGACUUCUGCUUGGAGAGCCCUUUUGUUGGGAAAGAAGAACAGCACGUUAAUACCCCGCUGUUCUGACGGUACCCAAAGAAUAAGCACCGGCUAACUUCGUG